GACGAACGCUGGCGGCGUGCUUAACACAUGCCAGUCGAACGGAAAGGCCCUGCUUUUGUGGGGUGCUCGAGUGGCGAACGGGUGAGUAACACGUGAGUAACCUGCCCUUGACUUUGGGAUAACUUCAGGAAACUGGGGCUAAUACCGGAUAGGAGCUCCUGCUGCAUGGUGGGGGUUGGAAAGUUUCGGCGGUUGGGGAUGGACUCGCGGCUUAUCAGCUUGUUGGGGGGGUAGUGGCUUACCAAGGCUUUGACGGGUAGCCGGCCUGAGAGGGUGACCGGCCACAUUGGGACUGAGAUACGGCCCAGACUCCUACGGGAGGCAGCAGUGGGGAAUAUUGCACAAUGGGCGGAAGCCUGAUGCAGCAACGCUGCGUGCGGGAUGACGGCCUUCGGGUUGUAAACCGCUUUCGCCUGUGACGAAGCGUGAGUGACGGUAAUGGGUAAAGAAGCACCGGCUAACUACGUG
This 468-nucleotide ribosomal RNA is filed under the name uncultured bacterium. RNAcentral describes it as "partial 16S ribosomal RNA". It matches the Rfam family "Bacterial small subunit ribosomal RNA", at positions 28 to 507 of the family's 1533-position model. The record is from RNAcentral.